CCCAGUGACUCUUUUAAACGGCCGCGGUAUCCUAACCGUGCAAAGGUAGCAUAAUCACUUGUCUCUUAAAUAGAGACUAGAAUGAAUGGCUAAAUGAGGACUAAUCUGUCUCUUACGGACCAACCAAUGAAAUUAAUCUUUCAGUACAAAAGCUGAAAUAAAAACAUAAGACGAGAAGACCCUGUGGAGCUUCAAACCAAACACACCCUGCAUGCUCCUUAGGUUUUUAGUUGGGGCGACUUCGGAGCACAAUAAAACCUCCAAAAUUUUUAUCUUCAAGAUUAACAAACCAAAAACUUUAUUAGACCCAGCAAUGUAUAACAUUGUCUGACCACUGAACCAAGUUACCCCAGGGAUAACAGCGCCAUCCCCUCCUAGAGUCCAUAUCGACAAGGGGGUUUACGACCUCGAUGUUGGAUCAGGACACCCCAAUGGUGCAGCCGCCAUUAAAGGUUCGUUUGUUCAACGAUUAAUUAGUCC
Molecule: ribosomal RNA, 480 nt
Filed under: Zootoca vivipara (common lizard)
Lineage: Eukaryota; Metazoa; Chordata; Lepidosauria; Squamata; Lacertidae
Description: partial 16S ribosomal RNA
Rfam family: Bacterial large subunit ribosomal RNA
Source: RNAcentral